CGCUGGCUGCUGGCGCGCUGAAGGUGAAGCAGCGGGCACUGACGCCGCAUUUGGCGACCGCUGUGUCGGACAGACUGCCUCGCACCUGCAGCGCUCGUGCUAAGUCAGUGCUAAUCGGUGCCUUGGAAAUAACAUCACUGAUGUUUCCGUGGGAGCAGUAGGGACCGUCGGGCGGCCUGGCUGAAUAUAUUGAAAAUCUAGAAGUCAGAGCGCCUUAACAACCGCGUUUGGACUCAAGUGGCUGAAAGGCCGCCGGUGAUACUCGACGGCCCGGCAACCGCUUUGAGAAUACGUCGCGCUAACCUAAUCUAACCUAGCGUUAACCUAAGCAAACGUGGCCGAUACGAAAAGACAGUAAUCAACAUGGCAUAACCGUUGCGAGAAUACGCCGUGCCACCCUAACGCCUUUUGCGCUAACGUAACCUAACCUAAGGUAACCUAACCUAACGUGGGCGAGACGCAAAGCCAAUAAUCCUCACGGCGUGACAUCAGGCACUCAUGGUGUUCAACUGCGUUUGCUAGGUACUGUGCGUUUGUUUCACUCAAAGGAGACCUCUCAAAAAUGCUGAAAAGUCGCGGACAGCAGCAUACGAGAAGCCUACCAAGAGCGAAGAUACUGCACCAGGAAAGCAGGCCGGGCGCCUACUACGGUCCUACUGCACCCCCGAAAAAAAUAUGUGUAUUUUUUUUUUAAGGUAGAACACCAUAAAUGGCAAGAAAGGCUUAAUUCGGCAUGACUGACUCAGCACCAGCGCCCCAGGUGCGAGAAACUCUAUCCGACGUAGCUACGAACCAACCGAAGGGAGUGUAUUCGAAGACGACGCGCUGGCUGUAAUCCUGAACGAGACUGAACUAGGCCUAUUUUGUGUCCUUUUGUUCUUGCGUGUGCGCGCGUGUGUGUCAGUGACUAUGCAGUUUGUAGCGUUCCCACUUUAUAGCAAAACAAAAAUAUAACUGCAAUGUUUACUUCAUCUAUACAAUUCCAAAUUAAAUCGUCUGCCGAUGUACAAAUUUCACUUGUGUUUUGUUCUAAAUAAGCAGCAAAACCUUUAACCUAGUAGGUGCUUCAUCUGGGAGUGAAAUCACGACAGCUUGGCAUUUGUUAAUGAAUGACUGUGACUGGGUCACCUUAUUUGUAAUUGUAAAUCAGCCUUUCAACUGACUUGAUGCACUCUUAUUUUGUUCCUUUCACUCUAUAGACGGCUGGACAUCCUUCUUGUACCUUGGCGCUAGCUGGAUGACGGGACCUCAUCGUGAUCAGUGUAUUGCUUGCCUGUGUCUACAAGAACCGUCACGUGUGGCCUGUGACAGCAAGCUUUUGUGGGCAGCAAGUGCUCUCCUACGACGGCUGGCCUGCUCCGGCAGCGGCAGCAAUCUUCAAGAUUUAUCCAUGAUCACCUUUGCUGCUAUUUGUCACUCUUGUUAAUUACACUUUCUGCAUCUUUUCUCAUUUAUUAGGUAAUAAAGUAUGAGUAUGUGA
Molecule: long non-coding RNA, 1480 nt
Organism: Dermacentor andersoni
Lineage: Eukaryota; Metazoa; Arthropoda; Arachnida; Ixodida; Ixodidae
Source: RefSeq, a predicted model, not a curated record